GGGGCUGGUCGAAAGAUCUGGGUCCACCGUGGAGCGGGGAAUUUCCCC
Molecule: non-coding RNA, 48 nt
Filed under: unclassified sequences
Description: DUF3800-XI RNA
Rfam family: DUF3800-XI RNA
About the family: Actinobacteria, Firmicutes, Proteobacteria, Spirochaetes (1 example).
Source: Rfam by way of RNAcentral